CUGUGAUCGGCUGAUCGCCUCCGCACCCACGAUAUAAAGCAGACCGGCCCCGUGGAAACGAGCCCAAGCCAAGCUAGCACAUCCAUCCAGGAGGAACGGAACCAAAGGUCUGCUGGUCGCGCGCGUGCCACUAGUCAGGAGACGGGAUGGGCAACCUUGUCUCGCAGUGCGUCGGGAACGGUGCCGGCGCGCGGCCUCUGGUCAUCGGGGCGACGGACGGCAGCCGAACGAUGGUCGAGGAGAACACCGCGGUCGCGGAGCUGAUGAUCGACGCGCCGGGGCACGUGGUUGCUCGCGCCACGGACGUGGCGAGGGAGCGACGGUUGCGGGCGAUGGCGGCCGACGAGGUCCUGCGCGCUGGCGUGGUGUACCUCCUCGUGCCGGCAGGCCGGGCCGGUGCGCGGCUAGGCGGCCGUGAGGUCGAGGCCAUCGGGAGGCUGGUCUCUGGGAAGAAGGGUUCGAGGAAGAGCAGGCCCGGCGGCGGCAGGAGGGUCUUUCCGGACGUCAGCGCCGAAGAGGACGCGGCUGAAAGAAAGGAGGUUGUGUGUGCUGUUAAACGGGCCCAUGAUCAUGGAUUUGGGCCCAGGCAAUGGAGGCCCGCCCUGGAUACCAUCUAUGAGGCCUAGAUUUUUUCUUCUUAUUAGAGAGAGUAGGAAACCCCAUUCUUUGGUUUAUAUGUUUAGGAACUUACCAUGUACAACUGUAUACAUUCGUCUAACCGUGCAACUAAAAAACGAAGACAGAAAAAAUAUUCUUUUUUCAAAUUAUUGUCUCAUAUUUUGUAGAUAUUUUUUUAAAUCAGCUCAACGUGCGAUGUCUUUAGUUGCACGAGUACAUCAAUGGUUACACCUGAUGUGGUAUUUUUUUGCUGAAAGGAG
Molecule: unclassified non-coding RNA, 878 nt
Filed under: Zea mays
Lineage: Eukaryota; Viridiplantae; Streptophyta; Magnoliopsida; Poales; Poaceae
Description: misc RNA Zm00001eb130240
Source: RNAcentral